AGCGAACGCUGGCGGCAGGCCUAACACAUGCAAGUCGAACGGAUCCUUCGGGAUUAGUGGCGGACGGGUGAGUAACACGUGGGAACGUGCCCUUUGGCUCGGAACAACUCAGGGAAACUUGAGCUACUACCGGAUGUGCCCUUCGGGGGAAAGAUUUAUCGCCAUUGGAGCGGCCCGCGUCUGAUUAGCUAGUUGGUGAGGUAAAGGCUCACCCAGGAGAAGAUCAGUAGCUGGUCUGAGAGGAUGAUCAGCACAUUGGGACUGAGACACGGCCCAAACUCCUACGGGAGGCGGCAGUGGGGAAUCUUGCGCAAUGGGCGAAAGCCUGACGCAGCCAUGCCGCGUGAAUGAUGAAGGUCUUAGGAUUGUAAAAUUCUUUCACCGGGGACGAUAAUGACGGUACCCGGAGAAGAAGCCCCGGCUAACUUCGUGCCAGCAGCCGCCGUAA
RNAcentral lists this ribosomal RNA (448 nucleotides) under uncultured bacterium. RNAcentral's name for it is "partial 16S ribosomal RNA". It matches the Rfam family "Bacterial small subunit ribosomal RNA", at positions 29 to 523 of the family's 1533-position model. The record is from RNAcentral.